UACAGAGGUCCCGAGCGUUGUUCGGAUUCACUGGGCGUAAAGGGUGCGUAGGUGGUGGAGUAAGUCGGAUGUGAAAUCUCGGAGCUCAACUCCGAAAAUGCAUUGGAAACUACUCUGCUUGAGGGUCGGAGGGGGGACUGGAAUUCUCGGUGUAGCAGUGAAAUGCGUAGAUAUCGAGAGGAACACCAGUGGCGAAGGCGAGUCCCUGGACGACACCUGACACUGAGGCACGAAAGCUAGGGGAGCAAACAGG
Molecule: ribosomal RNA, 253 nt
Filed under: uncultured bacterium
Lineage: Bacteria
Description: partial 16S ribosomal RNA
Rfam family: Bacterial small subunit ribosomal RNA
Source: RNAcentral